This 496-nucleotide ribosomal RNA is filed under the name uncultured bacterium. Its description in RNAcentral is "partial 16S ribosomal RNA". It matches the Rfam family "Bacterial small subunit ribosomal RNA", at positions 29 to 507 of the family's 1533-position model. The record is from RNAcentral.
AUGCACGCUGGCGGCGUGCCUAAUACCUGCAAGUCGAGCGAACAGAUAAGGAGCUUGCUCCUUUGACGUUAGCGGCGGACGGGUGAGUAACACGUGGGUAACCUACCUAUAAGACUGGGAUAACUUCGGGAAACCGGAGCUAAUACCGGAUAAUAUUUCGAACCGCAUGGUUCGAUAGUGAAAGAUGGUUUUGCUAUCACUUAUAGAUGGACCCGCGCCGUAUUAGCUAGUUGGUAAGGUAACGGCUUACCAAGGCGACGAUACGUAGCCGACCUGAGAGGGUGAUCGGCCACACUGGAACUGAGACACGGUCCAGACUCCUACGGGAGGCAGCAGUAGGGAAUCUUCCGCAAUGGGCGAAAGCCUGACGGAGCAACGCCGCGUGAGUGAUGAAGGUCUUCGGAUCGUAAAACUCUGUUAUUAGGGAAGAACAUACGUGUAAGUAACUGUGCACGUCUUGACGGUACCUAAUCAGAAAGCCACGGCUAACUACGUG